AGAUUGAACGCUGGCGGCAUGCUUUACACAUGCAAGUCGAACGGGGUGGUGGGGCAACCUGCCAUUCAGUGGCGAACGGGUGAGUAAUACAUCGGAACGUGUCCCGUAGUGGGGGAUAACCCGGCGAAAGCCGGACUAAUACCGCAUAUGCUCUACGGAGGAAAGCGGGGGACCUGAAAAGGCCUCGCGCUAUGGGAGCGGCCGAUGUCCGAUUAGCUUGUUGGUGGGGUAACGGCCUACCAAGGCGACGAUCGGUAGCUGGUCUGAGAGGAUGAUCAGCCACACUGGGACUGAGACACGGCCCAGACUCCUACGGGAGGCAGCAGUGGGGAAUUUGGACAAUGGGGGCAACCCGUGAUCCAGCCAUGCCGCGUGCGGAAGAAGGCCUUCGGUUGUAACGCGUUUUAGCCGGAAGAAAGACACGGUGAAUACCCGUGUUCGUUGACGGUACCGGCGAAGUAACGACACCGGACUAACUACGUCGACCAGCACGCCGC
RNAcentral lists this ribosomal RNA (497 nucleotides) under uncultured soil bacterium. RNAcentral describes it as "bacterial SSU rRNA". It matches the Rfam family "Bacterial small subunit ribosomal RNA", at positions 26 to 518 of the family's 1533-position model. The record is from RNAcentral.